GCAGCCAUGCCGCGUGUGUGAGAAGGCCUUCGGGUUGUAAAGCUCUUUCGUCGUGAGGAAAGGGUGUGUAUUAAUACUGUAAAGCUGUGAUAUCUCCGAGCC
RNAcentral lists this ribosomal RNA (102 nucleotides) under uncultured Gammaproteobacteria bacterium. Its description in RNAcentral is "partial 16S ribosomal RNA". The record is from RNAcentral. Lineage: Bacteria; Pseudomonadati; Pseudomonadota; Gammaproteobacteria.